GAUGAACGCUAGCUACAGGCUUAACACAUGCAAGUCGAGGGGAAACGACAUCGAAAGCUUGCUUUUGAUGGGCGUCGACCGGCGCACGGGUGAGUAACGCGUAUCCAACCUGCCCAUCACUUGGGAAUAACCUUGCGAAAGUAAGACUAAUACCCAAUGAUAUCCCACGAAGACAUCUGAAUGGGAUUAAAGAUUUAUCGGUGAUGGAUGGGGAUGCGUCUGAUUAGCUUGUUGGCGGGGUAACGGCCCACCAAGGCAACGAUCAGUAGGGGUUCUGAGAGGAAGGUCCCCCACAUUGGAACUGAGACACGGUCCAAACUCCUACGGGAGGCAGCAGUGAGGAAUAUUGGUCAAUGGGCGAGAGCCUGAACCGGCCAAGUAGCGUGCAGGAUGACGGCCCUAUGGGUUGUAAACUGCUUUUAUAAGGGAAUAAAGUGGGUCUCGUGAGACUUUUUGCAUGUACCUUAUGAAUAAGGACCGGCUAAUUCCGUG
RNAcentral lists this ribosomal RNA (492 nucleotides) under uncultured bacterium. Its description in RNAcentral is "partial 16S ribosomal RNA". It matches the Rfam family "Bacterial small subunit ribosomal RNA", at positions 28 to 507 of the family's 1533-position model. The record is from RNAcentral.